Molecule: long non-coding RNA, 666 nt
Filed under: Scleropages formosus (Asian bonytongue)
Lineage: Eukaryota; Metazoa; Chordata; Actinopteri; Osteoglossiformes; Osteoglossidae
Description: lncRNA (ENSSFOG00015030937.1)
Source: RNAcentral
AUGUGUGGACUGCAUCGUCCGCAGCGUUCGUGUUCUCUUUUUCUUCUUUUUCCUUUUUCCCAGCACCUGGCUGGAAUGCCUUUGCUGGCUCGACGAGGCCGUCCGGCGCCGCGCUGUGCACGAGCGGGCGCGCGCGCUCGCUCUCUUCCUCGCUGCGAGCCCUGCGCUGGGAGACGCGAGCGGCUCAGAGAUCGCGAGCGGGGUCCGGCGACUGCGGCGCGCGCGCGCUCGUUCGCUUCUGCCUCUCGGCUGCGCGUCCGCCUUCUCAUUGCCGCCGAGAGGAGAGGCGCGCAUCGCGUCGGGACCGCCGGAGACGCCCCGAUUCCACGAUGCUGGGAAGCUGCUGACCACGGAGGAGGAUGUGUCUCUGGUAACAGCUGAGCAAAGACUGUGCGAUACCCACAGACCCAACUAUGCACAGGCCACGAAAUUCAGAGAAUUCAGCUGCCCGUAGACUUGAGUCAACUUGAACAUCUUUUCUUCUGAAAGAGAUGAAGGAUCUGCUGAAAUGUGCACCAGGAGAAAGACAGUUCACAGAUGCUAUGCAGGUCUCCGGCAAACCCCUCAGUCAUAUAGCCGUCAGAUAUCCGGAUUGAUUUCAUCAUGUAAUUUGGAUGAAGACAAAUGCAAAGCAUGGUGGUGCAGCGCAAAGAGUUGCUUUCUAAC